GUGCAGCAGUCGCGAAACUUUACAAUGUGCGAAAGCACGAUAAGGGAACUCUGAGUGCCUCCUAAGGAGGCUGUUCAGGUGUCUAAAAAGCACCUGAAGGAAGGGCUGGGUAAGACCGGUGCCAGCCGCCGCGGUAACACCGGCAGCCCAAGUGGUAGCCACGUUUAUUGGGUCUAAAGCGUCCGUAGCCGGCUGGGUAAGUUCCUUGGGAAA
Molecule: ribosomal RNA, 213 nt
Filed under: uncultured microorganism
Description: partial 16S ribosomal RNA
Rfam family: Archaeal small subunit ribosomal RNA
Source: RNAcentral